UGCACAAGUAGGCAAAUACCAAAGCUUAGUUUAUUCAAAAAAGCUAGACCCUACAGACCACAAUAGGAGUAAAUUGCUAACUGCAGCAUUGAAUCAGGCAUUCGGGCUUUUAGUUUAAUCAAAGGCUUAUAAUAUAGGCUGUAGCAGUAUACAAAUUGCUAAUUGCCUAUUUUUAAAAAGAUUUUCUUCUCUUUUUCAAUGAUGAAAUACUUCAUGAAUGAAUUCUAAAUGUGCCAUGUGAUGGAGAAUACAAGGAGUGCCAUUAGUGUUUAAUUGCCUUUCUUUAGAUAAUGAAGUGUUUAGUUACCAAGGACUUCCUCUCCUUUAAUAUAAUGAUACGCAGCCCUCAAGCGUAUUCGAGAAAAAAAAAGUUACCAAGGACUUUAAAGCCAUCUUGGAAACAUCAAUUAAGAGCACAGCACCCCCUCUAUCUUCUUCUGAAGAGUGUACCUGGUCUCCUAAAUCUCUUCCGCGUUAUCCAAUUUCAUCUAUUUAUAUGCUUAUCGACACUUGGUUUUUUUCCUUAGUCUUGUGACCUAUUAUUGCUACUAGCCACAACAAUGAUCGAUUAACCGACUGGUUGGGUCAAGUUCGCACAAUGAUUUUCCUCAAAUAAAAACUAGGCGCGGUUGCUACUUCACGUUUAGGGGUUGUUUGAUCCCAGGACUGAAAUUCACUCCUAGGCCAUCGAUACAGGUAGACUAACGAGUAAACUAAUUCUUAGCCCACACCCCAAUUAAUAGGUAGUUCACUAAUAGCAAAAUAGAGCUAAAAUGGACUAAUAACUACUAGCCCGUUUAUCCAAACAGCGCUGGACUAAAAUUUAGUCACCAGCAGUUAUUUCCUACCAACCACUAAACUGACAACUAGUCCUAUACGAUCCAGAAUAUGCUCUUUGAUUAGGGCAUUUUGGGUAGCAAAUUUUCAUAAUUUCUAUCGUCUUGGUUUGUUCCUGAACUUCUCAUAAUGCUGCUAUUGUUUGUUGUUUUGUGUAUCUGUAUAUUUGAGUGGCAAUCUAGGUUUCCACCAUGCAAUCCAUAACUCAGUUGAAAUAUAUGCCAUUGAUAGUUAAUGUUCGUGCAACUAGUGAAACGGUAAUGUCAUUAGUGUUUAGGGAUUGUUUUAAUUUGGCCUUACACAUACUUAAUUUUUUAAAACAGAGAAGUCCUGAAAGGAUUAUCGAAUGGCCAGGACCGAUGCGUGAAUGACACUCUUUUGUGUGAAGAUUAUUUGCUUGUUUGAAGACGUUUUGGCAUGUAAAUGAAAGGCGUAUCUUCAAUCCUUUUAUCUGUUUUAAGUCGGAUUGCAUGUAGUAACAUCAUAAAAUAAAAUUAAUAUCUUUUAGCGCCUUAGUUGGGUGGUUAUAUAUAAAAAUCUGACAAUGAGCCUCUUAUUUUUCCUGAACAACCCUGAGCUCCUGAGUCCUGACAUAGGGUAAACCUAGCUUACUGUUUCAUGUCUCCUUUAAGGCAACUUAUACCCAUCUUAUCUGGAUAGUUAAUUAAUUAUAUGGCUUCCUGAAGGUGAUUAGUAGUAAUCAGCUCAUGCAAUGCAUAGUAACUCCUGUUUGUUGCUUACAGAUCUGGGGGACACCUGACCCAAGAAGAGCUGGAUGUGUAAAUCGCAGAGUACGGCUGGAUGUGCAAAUGUCAUGGCUGUUUGGAUUUCUUCUGACAGCUCGACAAAACCGCACAUCAUGCAAAGAGUCAGGAAAACAAAAAAAAUAAAAAAACAGGAAAACAAAAAAAAUUAAAAAACCAGGAAACAAAAAAACCACAGGAAAAAACCCAGGAAACCUGAAGGCACAAUAUUGCCCUGUAACCACCCACGAGAAGAUGUAAGAGAUGUAUUCAUAUGCUUGACUGCAAAUUCGCUUGCGGAGAUUCCUGCUGGCAGUGUUGCUGGAAGUGCUUCCUUGCGGAGACAAUCUCAGAUUCUCUACAGAUAUCCAUCACUGAAAAUCUGGGGGGCACCUGACCGAAGAAGAGCUGGAUGUGUAGAUCACAGAGUACGGCUGGAUGUGCAAAUGCCAUGGCUGUUUGGAUUUCUUCUGACAGCUCGACAAAACCUUACAUCAUGCAAAGAGUCAGGAAAACAAAAAAA
Long non-coding RNA from Zea mays, 2103 nucleotides. RefSeq lists it as uncharacterized. NCBI's taxonomy places the organism in Eukaryota, Viridiplantae, Streptophyta, Magnoliopsida, Poales, Poaceae. The transcript has 2 exons. The record is from RefSeq and is a predicted model, not a curated record.